Molecule: ribosomal RNA, 264 nt
Filed under: uncultured bacterium
Lineage: Bacteria
Description: partial 16S ribosomal RNA
Rfam family: Bacterial small subunit ribosomal RNA
Source: RNAcentral
GUCCACGCCCUAAACGAUGUCUACUAGUUGUCGGGUCUUAAUUGACUUGGUAACGCAGCUAACGCGUGAAGUAGACCGCCUGGGGAGUACGGUCGCAAGAUUAAAACUCAAAGGAAUUGACGGGGACCCGCACAAGCGGUGGAUGAUGUGGAUUAAUUCGAUGCAACGCGAAAAACCUUACCUACCCUUGACAUGGACGGAAUCCUGAAGAGAUUUGGGAGUGCUCGAAAGAGAGCCGUUACACAGGUGCUGCAUGGCUGUCGU